This 406-nucleotide ribosomal RNA is filed under the name uncultured bacterium. Its description in RNAcentral is "partial 16S ribosomal RNA". It matches the Rfam family "Bacterial small subunit ribosomal RNA", at positions 30 to 526 of the family's 1533-position model. The record is from RNAcentral.
AUUGAACGCUGGCGGCAGGCUUAACACAUGCAAGUCGAGCGAGCGGCGGACGGGUGAAUAAUGUCUGGGAAACUGCCUGAUGUAGGGGGCUAACUACUGGAAACGGUAGCUAAUACCGCAUACCAUCAGAUGUGCCCCGAUGGGAUUAGCUAGUCGUGGGGGUAAUGGCUCACCUAGGCGACGAUCCCUAGCUGGUCUGAGAGGAUGGCCAGCCACACGGGAACUGAGACACGGUCCAGACUCCGACGGGAGGCAGCAGUGGGGAAUCUUGGGCAAUGGGCGCAAGCCUGAUGCAGCCAUGCCGCGUGUGUGAAGAAGGCUUUCGGGUCGUAAAGCUCUGUCAGCGAGGAGGCGUUACUCGCAGAAGAAGCACCGGCUAACUCCGUGCCAGCAGCCGCGGUAAUAC